This 202-nucleotide long non-coding RNA is filed under the name Hordeum vulgare. RNAcentral's name for it is "long non-coding RNA (HVUL_LNC016324)". Lineage: Eukaryota; Viridiplantae; Streptophyta; Magnoliopsida; Poales; Poaceae. The record is from RNAcentral.
UACUCGGUUUGCAAUACUAACCAAAUUAGGACACACGUGUACGUUUAGACUACAACUAGGUUAAUUACUACAUUCACCUCCUUAACCUUGUUGAUGUGUCUUCAUUGCUUGCACUCCGACUUUCUUCCUCAUCUCGAUGAACUUCUGUCGACCGAGGGACUUGGUGAAAAUAUCGGCAAGCUGGUCCUUCGUAUUCACGUGC